RNAcentral lists this ribosomal RNA (1830 nucleotides) under Lachnospiraceae bacterium AC2012. RNAcentral describes it as "bacterial LSU rRNA". It matches the Rfam family "Bacterial large subunit ribosomal RNA", at positions 3 to 1863 of the family's 2925-position model. The record is from RNAcentral. Lineage: Bacteria; Bacillati; Bacillota; Clostridia; Lachnospirales; Lachnospiraceae.
UCAAGCAAAAAAGAGCGCAGGGUGGAUGCCUUGGCACUAAGAGCCGACGAAAGACGUGAUAAGCUGCGAAAAGCUGCGGGGAGAUGCAAAUAAUCUUUGAUCCGCAGAUAUCUGAAUGGGGAAACCUGGCUGGACGAACUCCAGUCAUCCAUACGCCAAUACAUAACGUAUGGAAGGGAACCCGGUGAACUGAAACAUCUAAGUAACCGGAGGAAGAGAAAGAAACAUCGAUUUCCAAAGUAGCGGCGAGCGAAAUGGAAAGAGGCCAAACCAUGGUGCGUGCACCGUGGGGUUCGGACCGCAUAAUUGAUUCAAAACUGUUAGCAGAACUGUUCUGGGAAGUACGACCAGAGAGGGUGAGAGUCCCGUACGCGAAAACAGGAUUGACAUGGCGGUAUCCAGAGUACAUCGAGACACGAGAAACCUUGAUGGAAUGAGCGGGGACCACCCCGUAAGCCUAAAUACUACUUAGUGACCGAUAGCGCAUAGUACUGUGAAGGAAAGGUGAAAAGGACCCCGGGAGGGGAGUGAAAGAGAACCUGAAACCCUGUGUUUACAAGCUGUGGUAGCACGAUGUAAAUCACGUGCGACCGCGUACUUUUUGUAGAACGGUCCGGCGAGUUACGCUCACUGGCAAGGUUAAGGACUUAAGGUCUGGAGCCGAAGGGAAACCAAGUCUGAAUAGGGCGAGUAAGUCAGUGGGAGUAGACCCGAAACCGGGUGAUCUAUCCAUGUCCAGGUUGAAGUUGCCGUAAAAGGCAAUGGAGGACCGAACCCACAUCCGUUGAAAAGGGUGGGGAUGAGGUGUGGAUAGGGGAGAAAUUCCAAUCGAACCCGGAGAUAGCUGGUUCUCCUCGAAAUAGCUUUAGGGCUAGCCUCGUUUUAGUCUUAUGCAGGUAGAGCACUGAAUUUCUGCGGGGGCGUCAAAGCCUACCAAGGAAUAUCAAACUCCGAAUGGCAUGUAGAUGAUGAACGGGAGUCAGACUGCACGAGAUAAGUUGAGUGGUCAAAAGGGAAAGAGCCCAGACCGCCGGCUAAGGUCCCAAAGUGCGUGUUAAGUGGAAAAGGAUGUGAGAUUUCGAAGACAACUAGGAUGUUGGCUCAGAAGCAGCCAAGCAUUCAAAGAGUGCGUAACAGCUCACUAGUCGAGAGGUCUUGCGCCGAAAAUGUCCGGGGCUAAAACACGACACCGAAGCCGCGGGAUGUAGUAAUACAUCGGUAGAGGAGCAUUCUAAAAACCGACGAAGCGUGACCGAUAAGGACACGUGGAGGGAUUAGAAGAGAGAAUGCCGGAAUGAGUAGCGAGAGAAAGGUGAGAAUCCUUUCGGCCGAAUAUCUAAGGAUUCCAGGGUAAAGCUGAUCUGCCCUGGGUAAGUCGGGACCUAAGGCGAGGUCGAAAGACGUAGUCGAUGGAUAACAGGUUGAGAUUCCUGUACCUUAUAUUAUCAGAACUGUGGGGACGCAGAAGGAAAGCACAAGCCAGAGAUGGAAUUCUGGCACAAGCGUAUAGCAGGGCGUAGGCAAAUCCGCGCCGGAAAGCGAAAGCGUGAUGUGGAGUGAAAUGAAGUAACGAAGUGUGUGAGCCAGCUGCCGAGAAAAGCCGCUAUUGUGUAAUAUAAGCCCGUACCGUAAACCGACACAGGUGGAUGAGGAGAGAAUCCUAAGGCCGACGGAAGAAGCAUUGUUAAGGAAUUGGCAAAAUGACCCCGUAACUUCGGGAGAAGGGGUGCCUACGAAUGUAGGCCGCAGAGAAUAGGCUCAAGCAACUGUUUAGCAAAAACACAGGUCUAUGCGAAACCGUAAGGUGAAGUAUAUGGGCUGACGCCUGCC